GGGGAAUAUUGGACAAUGGGCGAAAGCCUGAUCCAGCCAUGCCGCGUGAGUGAUGAAGGCCCUAGGGUUGUAAAGCUCUUUCACCGGUGAAGAUAAUGACGGUAACCGGAGAAGAAGCCCCGGCUAACUUCGUGCCAGCAGCCGCGGUAAUACGAAGGGGGCUAGCGUUGUUCGGAAUUACUGGGCGUAAAGCGCACGUAGGCGGACAUUUAAGUCAGGGGUGAAAUCCCGGGGCUCAACCCCGGAACUGCCUUUGAUACUGGGUGUCUCGAGUCCGAGAGAGGUGAGUGGAAUUCCGAGUGUAGAGGUGAAAUUCGUAGAUAUUCGGAGGAACACCAGUGGCGAAGGCGGCUCACUGGCUCGGUACUGACGCUGAGGUGCGAAAGCGUGGGGAGCAAAC
This 400-nucleotide ribosomal RNA is filed under the name uncultured bacterium. RNAcentral describes it as "bacterial SSU rRNA". It matches the Rfam family "Bacterial small subunit ribosomal RNA", at positions 356 to 773 of the family's 1533-position model. The record is from RNAcentral.